GCGACAGUUGCAGGAGAAGUAAGGGGGCCGCUCCUGCAUCUGACAUAGUGGAGGAAGGAUCGGCCCUGCUCCCAGCCGACAUGGCAGAGGAGGAGGUUCGGGCCGCGCUCCUGCCCCCAUCCUCCGCAGGAGACCUGGCCGCAUCAACAUCCUGGCAGCUCUGGCGGUGAGAAGGAGAAGAGCUGGCAGGCAGGUCCACCCCAGCUGCAGCACCGCUAACAGCCGCCGACCACCUCCAGGAUACUCGUGGUUCAUGAGGGGGCAACGCAGCUGCUGCAGGCACCCGGGUGUUGAUGGGACUCCACACCUAGUGCCGGCAUUUAGGAGCCACCUCAGGACUGAAGCACAAUGGAGCUCAGGAGCGCCUCGUCCCGUGAUGUCGACCUGAAGGGGGGCCCGACACCUCUCCCCCUCCGCUCCCCAGCAGCUGUUCAACCUGCCCCUGAAGCCAAGCCUCACCAUGGAUGGUGGACGCAGAACGUAGCCAGAGCAGCAAGUCUUUCACGGAAGACAUGGCGGGCUGUCGUCAAGAGAAGGAGUGACACCUUGGCCGGACCAGGCCCCGAAAAACUUGAUCAGUACACAUCACAGUGAUGUCUAGUGGUACGCCUCCCGCACCUGAGAGCUUUGGCUCUUGCUCCCCGCACCUCCAGCCAUUGACUUGCGGUCUGCUGUAUGGACACUUGGAAUAAAGCAUCGUUCGGCAAACACUUCUCAGUGGGAUAUCAGUGUCUGAGCCACAUCUUCAGAUGAAUGUGUCUUGAGAAUAGCAAACAGGGAUUGGUGGGGCCGUUUGUCCUCCUGCAGUCCAUGAGCAACUGAUUGGCCAGCUCCUCUGCUCAUUCUGCCAGCAAAUAUCUGAGGACAGAACAUGCAAUGUAUUCUUACAGUGACAGCUACAGCGUUGAAAAUCAGCAGGUGCCAAUUUGAUUGAACCUUCUUUUGAGUUUCCCCAUGUAAAUAACAUCUUAAGUAAUCUGCCAUCAGACACAAGUUACUCCUUCCACUAAAGAAGAAAAAGCUUUUUGGAGACUUGAAUUCAGGAACCUGUAUACAAGUGAUGAGAAGGGGAUAUUGAACACGAGGGUCCUGGCCAGGGAGAACUGCAUUGGAAUUCAUGCUGCAUUCUUCCGUACUCAUUAAAUGGUUCUUGUGUACCAAAAAAUGUUUUAAAUGAAAUUUGAAGGGACAGCAGUGACAGAAAUCUCAAAUAACCUAUGAACUCUUUCCAAGUAUAGAGGUUAUUUUUGUAAUAUUUUUGUUCAGAAUGUUAACUAUUUCACAAAGGUUCUGUUAACCCUUUGGCAUACAUCUGUAGCUUCAUACGUGUAAAACAACACGUUAACCACUGUUAUUAAGUAUGUUCAGAUUAUCUCUAAAAAUAACCCAUCAUACCAAAGGGACAUGACCUGUCAUUAUCACAAUACACUGAAUAGGUAAAUGCAAUACUGAUGAGCGCAGCCAGAAAAUCAACAAUAAAAUGAAAUGAUCUGCAUUCACAUAAUGUAUUUCUUAUUGGUGUUGUUCACUUUUCCAUCUAGACAAGACUGGCCUGAAGGGUAUGAUGCAUCCAUACAGAGUUUACUUCCCAGGCAUCUUCUACUACUCCAUUUUGCAUGACAUAUUUUCCAUAACAGCCACAAUGCAACUGAUGGCACCCACAAUGCCCUGUGACAGCCAUACUGCUGCUUCAACAGCCACAGUACACCCCAUAGCAGCCACUCUGCUUUCAUGAGCACAACGGUGGCCCUCAUGAAAGACUCAAACAGCGGCAGGUUAUGAAAUGGACAGUUUAGGCAGCCGUCUUGGAGUUCCAUUCCCAAACCACCCACCAUAUCAAAAGGAAGAAAGUUCCAUUGCAUUUAAAGUGUGGGCGCCAUAGUGCCUGAGCUGCCGUGGGCUGCUCUUAAAGGGGUACUGUGGGAAACUGAAAAUAUUCCCCUAUCCACAGUAUAGGGAAUAAAAGAGUGAUCAAGCGAGUGGUUUCUGACUGCAGGGACCGCAAUCUCCUGUAUCAUGCCCUACUACU
Molecule: long non-coding RNA, 2029 nt
Organism: Hyla sarda
Lineage: Eukaryota; Metazoa; Chordata; Amphibia; Anura; Hylidae
Exons: 5
Source: RefSeq, a predicted model, not a curated record